GCCUGGGUGGCUCAGUUGGUUAAGCAUCUGACUUUGGCUCAGGUCGUGAUCACGAGGUUCGUGGGUUCAAGCCCCACGUUGGGCU
Molecule: transfer RNA, 85 nt
Filed under: Felis catus (domestic cat)
Lineage: Eukaryota; Metazoa; Chordata; Mammalia; Carnivora; Felidae
Rfam family: tRNA
About the family: Transfer RNA (tRNA) molecules are approximately 80 nucleotides in length. Their secondary structure includes four short double-helical elements and three loops (D, anti-codon, and T loops). Further hydrogen bonds mediate the characteristic L-shaped molecular structure. tRNAs have two regions of fundamental functional importance: the anti-codon, which is responsible for specific mRNA codon recognition, and the 3' end, to which the tRNAs corresponding amino acid is attached (by aminoacyl-tRNA synthetases). tRNAs cope with the degeneracy of the genetic code in two manners: having more than one tRNA (with a specific anti-codon) for a particular amino acid; and 'wobble' base-pairing, i.e. permitting non-standard base-pairing at the 3rd anti-codon position.
Source: Rfam by way of RNAcentral